UGGGGAAUAUUGCACAAUGGGCGCAAGCCUGAUGCAGCCAUGCCGCGUGUGUGAAGAAGGCCUUCGGGUUGUAAAGCACUUUCAGCGAGGAGGAAGGUGGUGAGCUUAAUACGCUCAUCAAUUGACGUUACUCGCAGAAGAAGCACCGGCUAACUCCGUGCCAGCAGCCGCGGUAAUACGGAGGGUGCAAGCGUUAAUCGGAAUUACUGGGCGUAAAGCGCACGCAGGCGGUUUGUUAAGUCAGAUGUGAAAUCCCCGGGCUCAACCUGGGAACUGCAUUUGAAACUGGCAAGCUAGAGUCUCGUAGAGGGGGGUAGAAUUCCAGGUGUAGCGGUGAAAUGCGUAGAGAUCUGGAGGAAUGCCGGUGGCGAAGGCGGCCCCCUGGACGAAGACUGACGCUCAGGUGCGAAAAGCGUGGGGAGCAAAACAGGAUUAGAUACCCUGGUAGUCCACGCUGUAAAACGAUGUCGAUUUGGAGGUUGUGCCCUUGAGGCGUGGNUUCCGGAGCUAACGCGUUAAA
This 520-nucleotide ribosomal RNA is filed under the name uncultured bacterium. RNAcentral's name for it is "partial 16S ribosomal RNA". It matches the Rfam family "Bacterial small subunit ribosomal RNA", at positions 355 to 864 of the family's 1533-position model. The record is from RNAcentral.